UGCCAGCAGCCGCGGUAAUACGGAGGGGGUUAGCGUUGUUCGGAAUUACUGGGCGUAAAGCGCACGUAGGCGGAUUGGAAAGUAGGGGGUGAAGUCCCAGGGCUCAACCCUGGAACUGCCUCCAGAACUGCCAGUCUAGAGUUCGAGAGAGGUGAGUGGAACUCCAAGUGUAGAGGUGAAAUUCGUAGAUAUUUGGAGGAACACCAGUGGCGAAGGCGGCUCACUGGCUCGAUACUGACGCUGAGGUACGAAAGUGUGGGAGCAAACAGGAUUAGAUA
RNAcentral lists this ribosomal RNA (278 nucleotides) under uncultured bacterium. Its description in RNAcentral is "partial 16S ribosomal RNA". It matches the Rfam family "Bacterial small subunit ribosomal RNA", at positions 506 to 784 of the family's 1533-position model. The record is from RNAcentral.